RNAcentral lists this ribosomal RNA (576 nucleotides) under uncultured fungus. RNAcentral describes it as "eukaryotic LSU rRNA". The stretch from base 226 to 379 matches the Rfam family "5.8S ribosomal RNA". The record is from RNAcentral. Lineage: Eukaryota; Fungi.
AAGUCGUAACAAGGUUUCCGUAGGUGAACCUGCGGAAGGAUCAUUAACCAUCCAAAACCGACUGUGGAUGCGGCCUCCAGCUUGCUGGGCGGUUUUACGCGCCACAUGUUCGAAUCCUUUUUCUACGAGCACCAUUUGUUCUCCUUCGGUGGGGUAACCUGCCGUUGGAACCAUCAAAACUCUUUUGCAUCUAGCAUUACCUGUUCUGAUAAAAACAAUCGUUAAAACUUUCAACAAUGGAUCUCUUGGCUCUGGCAUCGAUGAAGAACGCAGCGAAAUGCGAUAAGUAGUGUGAAUUGCAGAAUUCAGUGAAUCAUCGAAUCUUUGAACGCACAUUGCGCCCCUUGGUAUUCCAUGGGGCAUGCCUGUUCGAGCGUCAUCUACACCCUCAAGCUCUGCUUGGUGUUGGGCGUCUGUCCCGCCUUUGUGCGUGGACUCGCCCCAAAUUCAUUGGCAGCGGUCUUUGCCUCCUCUCGCGCAGCACAUUGCGUUUCUUGAGGUGCUUGCGAAUCGCGUCCACGAAGCAUUAUUACCGUCUUUGACCUCGGAUCAGGUAGGGAUACCCGCUGAACUUAA